GUGGGCGGGCCUGGCGUCUCCGGGCGCUGCGAGCCCCCCGCCGGGUGGCCGAGGUAAGGAGGGGAAGAUGGCGGAGUGAGAGGAAGAGGCGGAGAGGCUGGGGCCGGCCGCGGCCCCGCGGCCUCGGCCGCGCUCAGGCUCACUGAAGAGAAUGUGGAUCGAUCAAAAAUAAUGCUCUCCAGGUCUGUUUUUCCCAUCUUCAUAACAAGAAUAAGACUUUUCCAACAGUGUGAGCAUGGACGGUCAAGCUCCUGAUCAACUGAAACAUUUGAGUGCCUCAGAGAAAGUGAUGGUGACAUGUGCUGUAUUUCCAUUUUCAUGAUCUACUCGCUACUUCUAACAUAGGAAUUGAAAAUUUUCACUGGAAGAUUAUUUCUGAACUUGAUCAACUAAAGGGUUAAGAUCCUCUCCUGACAUUUAAGAAGAAGGUGGUCCUGUUGCUUGCCCAUAGGCUCUGAGAUGCAGAUGUUUCUCUUUUAGCAAGCAAAAACCUGUCCUUCACUUCCAUGGAGCUGAACGAACAAAGAUCUCUCCACUUCCUGAUUCAACUAUCUCACCCAACAUUUGAUUCACCAGAUGAUUUCUCCCACAGAAGUACCCCACUGUUUUAUCAAAACUCAAAAUCAGAGUAACAGAAAUCAGCAUUUGUUUCCCUGAAGAAAUAUCUUCUGUGCCAGCUCUUCAUCCAGCUUUCUGCAUUCUGUUUUAUAAUGAGAAAUACUUUGUAAUCAGAUGCAAGUGGAAGCUGGUGUUCUUCUUGACAUCUCCUUCUUCAUUUUAGGAAGGUUAAGUACUUCACUGUGUCAUAUUGGAAUUCCUAGCAGAUAAAGUGUCUGCAUGCAUUGCUAUGUCAGACUGUCUUGACAUGUACGAAAAGUUGCAGCAGGAAAACCAGAACCUAUUGUCUGCUCUAACAUGAGGAAGAAACUUACCAAACAAUUGGGGACAUCCCAUACAGGUAUUUUCUAGUCCAGGACGCAGGCUUGACUUUGUAGAUAGAUCUCUUGAUGUCGAUUCACAUAAAGCAGCUAAUGUGCAAGAACAAAUGCAGAAUCACCUUGUCUGUAGCGUGUGAAUGCAUCAUCCCAGUCUGGGAUCAAAAUGUAUAUUUGCAUGUGUAAACCUAUGUAAGUGCUGGAUAUGAAGAGCUUUCACCAGGAGAAAUUACUCUGCACCAUUUCAUUUUUAGCAAAGAAGAAUGAAGCUUUAAAGGCCUCUGGGGUAACAGGAUAAUGAUUAGGUUUACAUUAAUUCAUUCCCUCCCCUGGCUUCUUAUGAAUCCUUAGCAGCAGAAAGAACAAAAACAUUCUACGGUAGAAGAGAUGGGGCAGAACUUCUUUCUUUAUUAAGGAAAUUAACUUCUGGUGGGAUGGAAGAGACCAGAGGUGUGAAGUUGCAGUUUAUCCACUCAGCUUCCUUGGCACAGUUUCAGCUUUUCAUACUGCUGAUGGAAUCAACUUUUUGAUUCUUCUGUGACUGAGAACUGAGAUGACCUGUAUAUUUCCAUCAUCUGGGUAGAAAUAGGCCCAAGAGAAUUGACUGUUAGCCACGUAAGAGGGUUAGUUGAAAGAGAGCAGAAAUACUUAACAAUGGGUCUUUUUCUGGUUCCUCUUAUUCCUUCCCAAACUAAGGCGCACUCUGUUGUUCUUAUGUUUACACAAGGUUCUUUGUCUCCAUCAUUUGUGAUUAUAUAGGAUGUUUUCUGUUAUUCUGAGAUGGGAGCAUGGAUUGUUUACAUGAUCCCUGCUAUGGUAUUGUAUAUGGAAAGUGAGAUUUCUUGGCAAAAAAACCCAGAACUGGGAUGUGUAUGCUGUUCCACUUCAAAUCUGGAGCUCUUCUUAGUGCACCUUAUUCCAAGCUUGUGAUUUAGAAAAUGUGACUUACUAGCUUAAAAUAAUAUUUUCAGAUCUGGAUCAAAUAAAGGUAUAUAGUUUCUGUUAAUAGGUUUUGGGAGAUAAUAGCAUGGUUGGGGGGGGGUGGUUUAGAUUUUUUUGUUCUGUUUUUCUUUUUAGAAAACUGCUGGAGAGAGCCAAACAGCCUGAAAAUGGCUGAAAAAGCCAACAAGUGAAAUCCUUCUUAAAUCUUAAUCAUAGAUUGCAAGGGCAGCAUUCUGAUACUUAAAAUGUGGUGACGUUUUACGGGACCAAGUUCCAUAGCAGAGUAAGGACAAGUGUUGAUGCCGAUCCUAAUCUUCAAAGUAGAAUUGAGUUAGGUUUUUGUUUAGACUUGCAUUGUAACAAUAAGAUUUAAUGACAGCUUUACCCAUUUUUUGUUUCCAUGAAGAAAAGAUCAGACGUGUAAGCUAAAGAGUGGUGGGCAAGACACUGCGUAUCAGAAUAAUGCCAACUGUAAUGAGCAGAGAGGUGCACUAAAAUUUUGUGUAACAUUGUGAUGAGCUCUGUUUCUUUUAUUAGUUUAGAUAAGAGUUGCAUUGAUCUUGAUGAGGCAACCACCAGCUUGCCCUGACUUCUUUUAAGACCAUAGGAUUUCUUUGCUGAAUACAGUCUAAAUUUUCUGGCAUUGGAGGCAACUAGAAAAGCGCACUUCCUUUUAGGGCCUCCUUAUGUCGAAACCAAUGGGAUUUCAUGUAGAUGUCUGUAGAAGCAGGAUCCAUCUCUAAGCGAUGGAGAAUACUGUCAAUGUCAUAGGAUUAUAAGUGGUUGAGAGGUAUCUGGUAUAAGAAACCUCUGAUUUUAAAUCUAGGAAUUUCCUUUUCUUCCUUCUGCCCAUACUUAUCCUUCUGAUGUUAGAGCUAGCAGUUGUUUCUUGCAUAGUUUGAGGACAAAAUGCUUGGGGGAAGGUAUUUUUGUUUCCUGUGGACGUGUACAAAAACUAAGAAUUUGUCUGACUAGAGGGUAGACACUUCAAGCUCUUUGAUAUCUUUUUCUGUAGGAAUAACCCUCAACAUUUUGUAACCCUACAUUGUAACAAAAAAAAAAAAAGAAUUGCUGAUUUUUCCUGACUCCUGUCCAUGACAAUGUAACAACAUUAGUUUUCAAGUUUAAUUUUAGAACAUAAUAUUUUUAGCAGGGCUAAGGAUCUGUGGCUUUCACAGAAGUAAUACUCCAACAGUGCACGCUCAGAAGACCCCCAUUACCGUACCUUUCCGGCCAGCACCUUUAUAAAACUGCUGUGUUAGGAAAUGCUGCCUCAGCCUACUUACUUUUCUUGCUCUACUUUUUCUCUAUGUUGGUUGGAAAUCUUCCCAUGUGAAAGAUUACAAAAACAAGGGGCAUGUGCAAUAGAUCAUAUAUAUAUAUAUACACAUAUAUAUAUUUUAAUACUUGUGGACAAAAUGAUGUUACAAGUUGUUUGAAAACAACAAAAUCACCAAUGUCUUCCAUUUUGAGAUGUGUAUAGUUCCAUAAGCAUUAGUGCUUUGUAGCAAACUGUAGUGCCAUGUUAGGAUCAGUGCAUGAGCCUAGUAGUAUUUUUACAAUUUCAGAGUGACAAAUUUAUUAAUAAACAGUGAUGAUAAUGUAAUUAACAGUAGAAAGGAUACAAUAGAAAUGUCACAAACAUGGUCUAAACAUGCAGUAUCCUCCCUUUGACAAUGGCAAUGCUAUCUUUAGAAAUUGAAUGCGUUCACUUAAUGGGCUUCAUAGAAUCAUAGUUGACUUUUGGGUUUUAAUCUAUCUGUCCAGCUACAAUAGUAAGCUAGUGUGUGUAAGCAUCCAGAAUUCUCAUCUCUAUCAGUGGGAUUCUUUUCUUUUUAGUCUUCGUUGGAGGUGUUUUCUUCCAUGUGCAGCAUUUUCAAUUUUAUUAUUACCCAUCCUGUGUUAUACUCAGAAAAGUAUGAAUACGCUAAGGAGUUCAUGUGCAUUUUGUACACAUCUCUGUUACCUUAAGAUCGUUUACAAAAUCUGUUAAUUAAUGUUUUUCUUGUUGUUCAGAUCUGACUAUAUGAUUUUUAUAACUAGUUAAACAUUAUCCUUAUUAUAUAAUAAGUUAAUGGUUGCAAAAUGCUAUCUGCCAACUAUGCGUAGAAGAAUUUUAUCCAUUAUUGCAGGAACAGGGAACCUUUUUUCGCUGAAGUCCUAUUGAAUCUUUUAACACCUCUAGUGGAUCCUGCAUUUACAUACAUCUUAAUGUUAAUAAUAAUAAUGAUAAUAAGAGAGAAUAUAAUAAGGUCAAGGGCUGUUGAAAAAUAAAUAUUGCAGACUGUAUCUGUGCAGCAGGCUAUCUCUAGCCUAUGGAUCAGAGAUUCCCCACCCCUGUAUUAUUGAGAAUUGAAUAUUCUGUAUUUUAGGUAACUUCUAGUAUUGCUUUCCAGCUCUAAGCUCAAUUUUAAUAAUUUCUGUCUCUCCCUCUGCUUUUUUUCUGAAGGAGAGUUUAGACCAGGGGAAGUCCAAAUUAUUUAGCACUCAAUGGGCAGCUUGGAGUGGUCGAGUAAGAGACUGGUAUGAUUCCUGAGAUGUGCAGUGCUCUGUGGAUGGCAUCCUCUGAUUUCCUAGGAGAAAGUCUUUUAUUUGGUGCCAGUGUUGCUCUUCACCCAUUUCUCUCUUCUACAAGAACAAAAUUCUCUUUUAACUUAGAGAGGAUACUGCAUCUUUUUUUCCUGAGACCUGCCUGUAAAUGGCCGAUAGGGGGAGGGAGGGAAUGGGUAGCUUGGUUUUGUAAUUUUGAUACGCUAUAUCUCUAAUUAAUCAAGAAGCAUGUACUUUGGUGCAAAACCAGUAAUCCAUGCAGAGUUAAUGUUUGUAACAGGGAAACAAACAAACAACCCUCUGCAUCGAAUAAAUUUCCAAGAAAAUUGGACAGAUGGGCCAUUUAUAGCAGAGCUCUGGGGGACCUGUGCUGAGAGUUAGGUUCAAUUCUAAAUGGAAGUAGCUGUACCAUUGAAUAAAGUAGUUUAGUGCUUGGGAGAAUCAAUUGAAAAAUACCUCUGAAACUGGAAUGCAAAAUAGCACAGUAUGUAGGGGGAAGAAUCCCUGAUGCAAACAAAGCCAUAAGAUGAUUUAAUAAGAAAAUAGAACUUUAGUAGCAAUAACUGUUUUGCAUGUGAUAGUAAAUAACUUGCUUUAGCAAGACUGUACAGUAGAGUAAGUGGGUAAUAACCAAAUAAGUUUGUGGCGCUCUGUGCUGCAAGGAGUUGGCGUAAAAAGUCUUUUCCAGAGAAGAUGGGUGAAUUCCUCUUAUGUUCCUCUCAUUGGAGGGAGUUUGGCACUUGAAUACUUAGUUAAUGAACCUGAUACAAAAAAAAAUUAAAAAAUUUAGCUUUGUCACAUGUCUGAAGCACUGUUGGUGAGUGCUGGGGGAAGGGCAGACAGUUCUUUUUGAUAGUUGAAGUUUCCCUAUAUUUUUUCUUCUUUUGUAGUCUAGCAUUUGCUCUGUUUCUCUGAGAAGAAACUAAACCUUUCCAAAUACUGGACUGUGAAGAGAACCUGAUUCUGAAGUUAGAAGCUUUUAUUGUGGGAAGUACUUUUUGUUUUCUUUGUUUGAAAAGACCAAUCUGAGAUGGUCUUUAAAUAAAAAAAUCAGAGAACACUUGACACUCAAAACAUUUGUACAUCCCAAGCACAAGCAUAGAAUUCUAAAAAUGUUACUUUACAGCAAAAAAUAAUUUUAGCCUUGCUAAAGACUCUGUUUCAGACAUAAUUGAUUUCUGUUGAUGCCUGAAAUUUUGCAGAGGCAAGUACUGUGAAGCCUCUGGUAACACAAAGGGUUAUCGAUCUACAGCUGUAGCCUGUGCACCCAGCAAAGUAUUUGCUAUCAAAGGGUUACAUAAAAGAGCCGCAGGAGUUCUAAAAUGUCCAUAGUUGACAGUGUUUUCAGUGCAGAUACGUAGUUCAUAGAGACAGUAUGGCCCAACAAAUAAAUACAGUAUUCUGUACAGAAUUAUUACAUCAGAGCUUUAGAUCAGUCUGGCUGGAUUUCUUCUAGAAAGCUGAAGUAAUUUGGACUGUAACUUACAGCUGAAGGGAGGCUUCUAAUGUUCUGAAAUUACGGAGGUGAAGCCCUUUGGCUCUUCAUAAGUUGUUGAUGGGACUGUGAGGGCUGUGAGCAUUUGUACAGUGUAAAGUAACAAAGAUAAGCAUGAGGAUGUCUAAAUUAAGUGUUGGCUAAUCUGUACUAUGUGUAUGAAAAGCUAAUUGAUCUGGAAGGUUGUAAUCAGCUUAAAUUACAGCUAUUGAAUUAUUGAUAAAAUUGGAAGCUGGCCAUAGGGGACCUUAAUUUGAUUGUUAUCUGAUUACAUUAGAGAAAUUAUAAAUUUAUUCUGGUCUGUGGUCAGCAAGUACAUUUACAUCAUAAUGAAAUAAUAAUGAAAACACAGCCAUGUUCAUACUUCAGAAAUAUGAGCUUUGUGGCUGAUGAGAAUCCUUCAAGGUUUUAUUAUAGUGAUCUGUAUUCUAUGGGCUACCAGACCAGAAAUUACUAUUCACAGCAACGAAAGGAAUCUGUUUGCCUUUUGCUCCAACCCCCUUGAUUUCACUGCUUCUAAAACUAAGUGGAAGUGUUAGAUGCUAUCACAUUUUGGUGUGGGAUAUCAAAGGUGUAGUGACCAGUACUGACGUGCCUCCUUUGGCAGCACUAAACCUAGAUAAUACAAAUAUAUGCUGUUUCCAUACCCAGUAGUGCUGCUGCAGAAGGUCUAGCCCAUAUUUUUGUUUGGAAUUGCACCUUCAGGAACUGCACCUUCUGCAAGAGAGGAUAAUUGUCAAAUUUAGGACAAAAAAAGAGUCUUGCAAAGAUUCCUUGGUAGUGAGUGGGAAGAAAUUGUAUUGAGCUUCAGGACAUUGACACUUUACACGGGGAUUACAUUGUCAAGAGCUGGCAGUGUGGGUUUUUUUGGACAGAGUAGGGAAAAAUAUGGAAGAGAAGAGCAGUUUUUGAUGGAUAAAUGAUCUUAGAAAUAACUGCUUCCUGCAUCCCUAGGAAACUGUCUGGUCUUCCUCCAAAACUAAUAAUCCUGCUUGCUGUUCAGGUACAGAGCUGCAUAAUGGCAGUUCAAGUUAGAUUCUAUUGGAUUUCUUUUACUGAACGAUUCAGCAUUUUGCCCCUGUAGCGCUUUGACUGGCACACAAAAGCUAGCAGUUGAACCAGGGUGUCUCAUUUAACAGUGCAGAACACUAACCAUGGAUUCUGAUGUCUAUUCCCUUUCAGUCUGCUCUACACUUUCUCCUGAGCUUUAGAGAAAGUGUCUGGUGUUCAUGAUGCAAGCAGAGCGUGUUUCUGUCUCUCAGCCUAUGUACCAGGUUAUAAUACAGACAGAUUCCCUCAGGCUUUACAACAGCUAGGGUUAAAGAUAAAAGGUAACUUACUGUUAUAACGUACUGUUUAGUGUAUCCUAUGUAAAUCCUGUCUGCUUCUCUCCACUUCCCCUGCCAGAUGUUUGCAGGUCAAAUGAAAGGUGGCUAGUUUGUAAUGCCUUAGGCAUGAAGAACUGCAUGGAGAAACUGAAGGAAAGCGGCACAGGCCCACAAACCAAAUCUUAGAGCUAGUAUUCUAAUUAUGCAUGAUUCAAAAUGUCUAGUGUAAUGUAGUUAUUACCAGUAAAUUGAGAUAUGCAUUUAUACAUAAUGAAGCAAUAGGAAUUAAUAUAUCAAUAGCUUGAACUUCCUGCUUUGAUUCUCAAAUUUUCUUUUUUAGAGAAUGUGCUGCCUCUGUAGAGAAAGGGGCAGAAUGUAUAGAUAGGGACAGUAGCAUGGCACCAAAACUGUAAAUCAGGAACCAGGAUCAGCAGAACUCGCCUUUAUAACCUCUUCUCUGGUUCAUAUUAUUGCCCUGAGCAUGUAAAAAAGCAGGGCAUGAACUAAGCAUGUUUGGGGGCGAGAUGAGGUUUCUCACCUGCUGCAGCUGUAGCAAGGAAAAGGGUGCAGAGUUUCUUACAAGGUGCAAGGGGGAGCAACUGGUGGAAAACAAACAAAACAACACACAAAAAACCAAGUAAUGGAAACCACAGACUCAAAUUGAGUGUAUUUGCCAGACAGUAGGUAAUAAGCUUGGGUGUGGUGAGAGAAAUUAUUUGGAGAAGACUGAAAUUAAUAAGCACAGUACAUAUAUUUCAGGUGUUGAAUAGCUUUUUAAUAAACAGUAUUUUCAGGUAACUCUCUAGCCACAUAGGCAGCUGUACUGAAGCAUACUGGUAUCAGCCAGCAAUAAUGGCACCUGCAGGAACGAACCUGAAAAUACUGGAAAUCUUGUAUAUUUUUUAAGUUCUUUAAAGAGAUUUUUAAAAACAGAAAAUGAGAUUUGAUCACUGAAGGUCUUUAUCUUCUGCAACACAGGUUGCAAUAGUCUUCUUUUCUUUAUUUCAAUUAUCAAAUAAAAGGGAAUUUGGGUGCCAUCUUUCUGUAAACUUUCAGUGUGUUCUCUGUAAUAUUUCCCAAGUCUUUUAGCAGAUAACGCAAUGAAUUUCUGCUGGCAGUUUGAAAAUAACAUAGAACAUGUGGCAUAGCCUACAUCACUAGUACUUUUCUAAGUUUAAACUUGUAUUUCAAACAUGUAGAAUACUAGCUUGUUACUGCAGGAUUCCAUACUUCUAGUUUAGCUUAAUUUUGUAGGUGGGCUUAACUUGUGCAGAACACUUUUCCAUGUACGGAGGCUCCAUCCUCUUUCUUAAAUAGAAAAAAGUGUCUUGGAGGAAGAAAUUGUGUGCGUCAAGUUAACUCCUGUUCACACUUCAUAGUGAACCAUCCAUAAAGCACCAUGAUUUGGGUUUAUAAUGGGGGUUGCAUUUUUUUCUCAUGAAUGCUCUUUCUAGAUAGAGAAGAAUUGCCAAAUGAAGAUAGGAAUAUUAUAAGAAAAGAUAACUAUUUUAUGGUAUCAGAAGUUGGACUAAAUGAAAUCCUUUGAGCCAACUUCUUCAAGCAAAAAGGGAAUUUGUAAAACAAGUUUAGCCCAGUGGUUAACCGUGGUCACCUGAUUCUUAGUGAGUAUUCUUUAGAACACUUUGCAUGGUUCUAAACCCUGUUAAAUACCUUUUCUUUUGUGUGAUGAGUAAGCAGUUGUAUCCUUUAUUAAUGCUUAUUCCCUUCAGUAUAAAACCUGGGGAAUAAGCUACUUCUGGAUGUCGGUGAAGAUAUCCUCCUUUUGAAAAGUAUGAUAUAACAGCAAAGGAGAAGUAUCAGUUAUAGACUCUUAAAAAUUACCUUAGUACUUAAACAGGCUUAGAAAAUACUUCUUACACUGAACUUCUGAUGGCAUGCUCACAUGGAUUAGUGGAGGAAAUUAUUGGCGUCGCUAGCAACUAUGUACUCCCAUUGCACACAUUUUACAUGGUAACAGUGAAAGAAUGUCUCCCUGCAAAUUAUGUUUUUCCAAAAGGCAGCUUGCUUUUAUAUCUAUGCAUCUUUGAGGAUUUCAAGAUACAAUUUUAUUCUUUUGACACUGUAAAGAGGAACUGUUUAAAAAUGAACUUGGAAACUCUGCACCUGUAUACAAAUUUUUUAGCAAUAAAGCAGCACAGGCUGAGAAUGCACUAAAA
Molecule: long non-coding RNA, 9427 nt
Organism: Grus americana (Whooping crane)
Lineage: Eukaryota; Metazoa; Chordata; Aves; Gruiformes; Gruidae
Exons: 4
Source: RefSeq, a predicted model, not a curated record